This 427-nucleotide ribosomal RNA is filed under the name uncultured bacterium. Its description in RNAcentral is "partial 16S ribosomal RNA". It matches the Rfam family "Bacterial small subunit ribosomal RNA", at positions 355 to 774 of the family's 1533-position model. The record is from RNAcentral.
UGGGGAAUAUUGCACAAUGGGCGCAAGCCUGAUGCAGCCAUGCCGCGUGUAUGAAGAAGGCCUUCGGGUUGUAAAGUACUUUCAGCGAGGAGGAAGGCGUUGUGGUUAAUAACCGCAACGAUUGACGUUACCCGCAGAAGAAGCACCGGCUAACUCCGUGCCAGCAGCCGCGGUAAUACGGAGGGUGCAAGCGUUAAUCGGAAUUACUGGGCGUAAAGCGCACGCAGGCGGUCUGUCAAGUCGGAUGUGAAAUCCCCGGGCUCAACCUGGGAACUGCAUUCGAAACUGGCAGGCUAGAGUCUUGUAGAGGGGGGUAGAAUUCCAGGUGUAGCGGUGAAAUGCGUAGAGAUCUGGAGGAAUACCGGUGGCGAAGGCGGCCCCCUGGACAAAGACUGACGCUCAGGUGCGAAAGCGUGGGGAGCAAACA